This 425-nucleotide ribosomal RNA is filed under the name uncultured bacterium. RNAcentral describes it as "partial 16S ribosomal RNA". It matches the Rfam family "Bacterial small subunit ribosomal RNA", at positions 354 to 796 of the family's 1533-position model. The record is from RNAcentral.
GUGGGGAAUAUUGGACAAUGGGCGCAAGCCUGAUCCAGCAAUGCCGCGUGGGUGAAGAAGGUCUUCGGAUCGUAAAGCCCUUUCGACAGGGACGAUGAUGACGGUACCUGUAGAAGAAGCCCCGGCUAACUUCGUGCCAGCAGCCGCGGUAAUACGACGGGGGCUAGCGUUACUCGGAAUUACUGGGCGUAAAGGGCGCGUAGGCGGCUCUGUUAGUCAGGCGUGAAAUUCCUGGGCUUAACCUGGGGACUGCGCUUGAUACUGCAGGGCUUGAGGCCGAGAGAGGGUGGUGGAAUUCCCAGUGUAGAGGUGAAAUUCGUAGAUAUUGGGAAGAACACCGGUGGCGAAGGCGACCACCUGGCUCGGUUCUGACGCUGAGGCGCGACAGCGUGGGGAGCAAACAGGAUUAGAAACCCGGGUAGUCC